AUCGGCAGCUAGAUCCUGCAACUCUCACAUGGUCGCACACUGAAGUUAAGCAGGGCUGUGCCCGAUCAGUACCUGGAUGGGAGACCACAUGGGAAAGCUUGGUUGCUGCCGGAA
RNAcentral lists this ribosomal RNA (114 nucleotides) under Danio rerio (zebrafish). The record is from RNAcentral. Lineage: Eukaryota; Metazoa; Chordata; Actinopteri; Cypriniformes; Danionidae.